GCCCAGACUCCUACGGGAGGCAGCAGUGGGGAAUAUUGCACAAUGGGGGAAACCCUGAUGCAGCGACGCCGCGUGAGCGAUGAAGUAUUUCGGUAUGUAAAGCUCUAUCAGCAGGGAAGAAGAUGACGGUACCUGACUAAGAAGCCCCGGCUAACUACGUGCCAGCAGCCGCGGUAAUACGUGGGGGGCAAGCGUUAUCCGGAUUUACUGGGUGUAAAGGGAGCGUAGACGGCGGCGCAAGCCAGAUGUGAAAGCCCGGGGCUCAACUCCGGGACUGCAUUUGGAACUGUGUGGCUGGAGUGUCGGAGAGGCAGGCGGAAUUCCUAGUGUAGCGGUGAAAUGCGUAGAUAUUAGGAGGAACACCAGUGGCGAAGGCGGCCUGCUGGACGAUGACUGACGUUGAGGCUCGAAAGCGUGGGGAGCAAACAGGAUUAGAUACCCCCGUAAC
RNAcentral lists this ribosomal RNA (448 nucleotides) under uncultured bacterium. RNAcentral describes it as "bacterial SSU rRNA". It matches the Rfam family "Bacterial small subunit ribosomal RNA", at positions 329 to 794 of the family's 1533-position model. The record is from RNAcentral.